RNAcentral lists this ribosomal RNA (236 nucleotides) under uncultured Candidatus Saccharibacteria bacterium. RNAcentral's name for it is "partial 16S ribosomal RNA". It matches the Rfam family "Bacterial small subunit ribosomal RNA", at positions 584 to 818 of the family's 1533-position model. The record is from RNAcentral. Lineage: Bacteria; Candidatus Saccharimonadota.
UAAGCGUGUGAUGAAAUUUCGGGGGCUCAACCUCGAAACUGUUACGCGAACUGCUGAGCUAGAGUAUAUGAGGGGAAGCUGGAAUUCCUGGUGUAGGAGUGGAAUCCGUAGAUAUCAGGAGGAACACCAAUGGCGUAGGCAGGCUUCUGGCAUAUUACUGACGCUAAGGCACGAAAGCGUGGGGAGCGAACGGGAUUAGAUACCCCGGUAGUCCACGCCGUAAACGAUGGAUGCUA